This 834-nucleotide long non-coding RNA is filed under the name Salmo salar (Atlantic salmon). RNAcentral describes it as "lncRNA (ENSSSAG00000093945.1, ENSSSAG00000103872.1)". The record is from RNAcentral. Lineage: Eukaryota; Metazoa; Chordata; Actinopteri; Salmoniformes; Salmonidae.
GGCCCUUUCCGGCAACCUGAUUGGUUAAAAUGACUUCCUUGUUUCAAAAUAUCUCCCACGAAGAAUCUACGUAAAGACAUAGAAGGAGAAAAUCUCGAAGAAUAUACCUACAGUAUGUGAACAAAAAUAGGCGAUCUCAGUUAGCCAAUGAGAGAAAAGCAGUGAAUGAAAGAAAAAGAUUAGCCUGAUCAGCCAAUCGAGGCAGUGGCAGUACAGGUAGAGGAGGAAAAGGAAGUAGCCGGCAGCAGCACGUUGAGACGCAAAUUAGUUGAGAUGAAGUUGAUAGCUAGCAGCGAUCAACCAGUCAGCAGCCAGCCAACAGAGGCUUUUAUUCCACAUGUCACAAAUAAACUAACUUGAUUUGCCUUAAGUGUGUAAACACUGGACUGAAAAUCACCAUAGACACCACCAACCAGGGAUUCUGUAAAUCUAGAUAAAAUGUGCACACUAUGAAGCUGAUCAUGAUGCAUUUAGGAGGAGUGUUUACACUUCCUUCAGGCUGCAGGAGUGCUCCAGGGGAGAUGUGGCAUUUGAUAUACAUUUGAGGAUGGUUGUUCUAGCCCACGAACUUGGACUUGGUUAUGCAGCUCUAAAGAAAAUAAGCAAAGUCCUAGGGACUCCUUCCUUGCGUCUCAGCUCAUAUCAGACAUGUCAGGAGAGUGACAGUUGCAGAGAUUCAGAGUGCUGCAAUGCUUUCCACAGUUGUCUCAAGUUGGCUGGAUGUCCUUUGGGUGGUGGAUCAUUCUUGAUGCACACAGAAAACUGUUGAGCGCAAAAAGCCCAGCAGCCUGGUAGCUACUACCAUACCCCAUUCAAAGGCACUUAAAUAUUUUA